RNAcentral lists this ribosomal RNA (460 nucleotides) under uncultured bacterium. RNAcentral's name for it is "partial 16S ribosomal RNA". It matches the Rfam family "Bacterial small subunit ribosomal RNA", at positions 338 to 795 of the family's 1533-position model. The record is from RNAcentral.
CCUACGGGAGGCAGCAGUGAGGAAUAUUGGUCAAUGGGCGCGAGCCUGAACCAGCCAAGUAGCGUGAAGGAUGACUGCCCUACGGGUUGUAAACUUCUUUUAUAUAGGAAUAAAGUGAGGCACGUGUGCCUUUUUGUAUGUACUUUAUGAAUAAGGAUCGGCUAACUCCGUGCCAGCAGCCGCGGUAAUACGGAGGAUCCGAGCGUUAUCCGGAUUUAUUGGGUUUAAAGGGAGCGUAGAUGGGUUGUUAAGUCAGUUGUGAAAGUUUGCGGCUCAACCGUAAAAUUGCAUUUGAUACUGGCAGCCUUGAGUACAGUAGAGGUAGGCGGAAUUCGUGGUGUAGCGGUGAAAUGCUUAGAUAUCACGAAGAACUCCGAUUGCGAAGGCAGCUUACUAGACUGCCACUGACACUGAUGCUCGAAAGUGUGGGUAUCAAACAGGAUUAGAUACCCUGGUAGUC